CCGCACCCCAGCCCGUCAUCUCUGUCAUUUGGAUGGAGCUCCCUUCUAGAAGCUGUCACCUUGGUCCCUGUGGGUGAGGUCAAAGGUCAGGAAUGAAGGAGUGGAGCAGAGCCACCGUGCAGCCCUGAACUGCUAACAUUUGGCCUUUCGUGUGAAAGAGAACCAAGCAGCUGCCUGUUCGAGCCAUUGUUACUUGUAGGCAAAUCCAGUCUUCACUGAUGAGCAAGAGUGGAAUCCUCCGCAGCCGUGAAGACGGGUCCCGAGCCAGAAACCAACAUGGGUGAAAGAAGCCGGAAGUGAAGGAAUACACGCGCUGAAUGAUUCCAUCCUAGGACAGACCCGAACAGGCAAAACUAGGAUACUGUCCGAGACUUGGGCAAGCAUCACCCCGUCCAGUUCUGGAACCUUUUCAUCUUUUCAACUUUCAUACCCCGGAAAGUGAACAGGUACCUGCUAACAGUCACUCCCCGGCUGCCCCCACUCUCCCAGCCCCGGGCAGUCACGAUUCUCCGGUCCGAGUUACCCACUCUCGCCGCGUGUCUGCAGGUUAGAUUUAAACUGAAAUGUACAAGGCGCUGAAUGAAAUAACCACAGGCCACGGGCAGACACUACCCUACGCCCCUCACUUCUGUGUCCCGCACUCGUCUGUGUUCUUCGGUCAAUCACCUGCCUGGCCCCGGAGGCAUUCAAAGCUGUGGCUCCUGGGAUAGAUGAUCCGAGGGUGUUUUCCAGUGGGAAUAUCCCUUGUUUCUCAUUUCUCCCGCAUGGGAGCAGGGCCGGGUCCAACCAUCCUUUAAUGGAGACGGGAGGUGAAGAUCCGUUUGACAGCCAGUCUCCUGCAUCUAAGCUGCGGCUUUCCCCGGACAGCGAUGUGCCUCCGGAUGGAGUCAUUUCUCCGGACCCCUUCACCGGCCCCCACCUGCUGCUCUGGAUGAGUGGAAGAACUGUGUCCCCAUGCCUGUCGCCACCCCCAUGGGCCUGGCCAGGGGAGCCCAGCACCAGGCAGGACACAGAAGGACAAGUCGGGGAAGGGAACAGAGAGUUGUGCGUCUGGGCAGUUUGGGGACCUGAGUGCCUGGGCUGGGGUCCAGCGGAAGGUUUGUUCUCUUGGCUGAUCCAAAGUUAAAAACCGGCAGCCAGCAAAUGACCAUUUGCGAGGCACCAGCACUUCAUCCUUGUAACACAGCCUGAAGGUAGGAAUCGGUAUCCCGUGUCCCCCGCGGAUGGGAAAACCGAGGCUCUGAAAGAUGCCCUGAGCCAGGGGCUUAAAACAAUUUGUGAUUUUCUCUCGGUUCGGGGGCCAGCUGGAGUUCAGCUGGAUGGUUCUGUGGGUCCCACCUGAGUCCAGUCCCGCAGCUGGGAGCUUGGCACAGAGCUCGGCCGGGGCUGGAAUGUCCAAGGUGGCUGUUCUCCGGGACUCUCUCCGCGGGGCCCCUCCUCACAGCUUGGCAGCCGGGCUCUGAGAGAGGAGGUGAGAGCGGCUGAUUUUCUCCUUUUCACUGUAUGUGCUAUUGGGUUAACGAAGUCACAAACCAGCCCAAGGGGCCACUUUUUUUUUUAAUUUUUAAAAAA
Prionailurus viverrinus (fishing cat) is the source of this 1572-nucleotide long non-coding RNA. RefSeq lists it as uncharacterized. NCBI's taxonomy places the organism in Eukaryota, Metazoa, Chordata, Mammalia, Carnivora, Felidae. The transcript is spliced from 4 exons. The record is from RefSeq and is a predicted model, not a curated record.